This 301-nucleotide ribosomal RNA is filed under the name uncultured bacterium. RNAcentral describes it as "partial 16S ribosomal RNA". It matches the Rfam family "Bacterial small subunit ribosomal RNA", at positions 509 to 807 of the family's 1533-position model. The record is from RNAcentral.
CAGUAGCCGCGGUAAUACGGAGGGUGCAAGCGUUAUCCGGAUUUAUUGGGUUUAAAGGGUCCGUAUGCGGACUUAUAAGUCAGUGGUGAAAGCCUGUCGCUUAACGAUAGAACUGCCAUUGAUACUGUAAGUCUUGAGUAUAUUUGAGGUAGCUGGAAUAAGUAGUGUAGCGGUGAAAUGCAUAGAUAUUACUUAGAACACCAAUUGCGAAGGCAGGUUACCAAGAUAUAACUGACGCUGAGGGACGAAAGCGUGGGUAGCGAACAGGAUUAGAUACCCGUGUAGUCCCUGUCUCUUAUAC